UGGGCUGUGGCUCAGUGGGUAGAGCGCUUGCCUGGCAUAUGUGAGGCACUGGGUUCGAGUCUCAGCACUGCAU
RNAcentral lists this transfer RNA (73 nucleotides) under Ictidomys tridecemlineatus (thirteen-lined ground squirrel). RNAcentral describes it as "Spermophilus tridecemlineatus (thirteen-lined ground squirrel) tRNA". It matches the Rfam family "tRNA". Rfam says of the family: Transfer RNA (tRNA) molecules are approximately 80 nucleotides in length. Their secondary structure includes four short double-helical elements and three loops (D, anti-codon, and T loops). Lineage: Eukaryota; Metazoa; Chordata; Mammalia; Rodentia; Sciuridae. The record is from Rfam by way of RNAcentral.